AUCUGGCCCAUUUGGUGCCCUAAAGGCCCGACCUGACAAACUAUCUCUUCUCUUCGCCCUCGCCCUGCCGUCGUCCCGCCGUUCUCCCGCCCCGCCUCCGGCCGCCCUCCGCCGCCGCCUCCCUCCCCGGCCCUCCGCCCACCCGCCCGGCGACCGCUGAGCGCAGUCCACAGGCCCCCGCUCCGGUCCCUGUGCUGGUCUCCCGCGUCGCCUGGACAGCAAAGGCGCCGCCGACCGGCCAGGCGGCAGAGCCGAAAGCAAGGGGGAGUCCAUCGGCGGAGGAAGCAGCCACGCCGCGGGAGAACGCGUUUCCAGUGAGAAAAAGGUGGAUGGAUACUCUUCCCCCUUAGCCAAAUGCCUCGAUGUUUUUGAUUCGACUGACAGAGCUCUGUACUUCUCGUCGUAAAAUGAGUUUUACUGGUUUGAUUAGGUGCUAACUUUAACACUUGAUUUCCGCUAUUGUGGAGAUUUAUUUUUUAUCUUUUGACAUGUUGUAACCCCGUCUCCAAAUUCCUGCACUAGUUAUGGCUUGCUUGGCCAUCGAGCGUGUUGGGGACAAUGGAGUGAUUGGUUCUUGCUUAGUGUGGGAGUAAUGGACAAUGUAUAGCAAGAGCUGAGCUGUUUCAAUUUCUGUUGAUUAUCUUCAAAAGUGUAGCGGUGAUAUGUAAAUAGCUUGAACUGGGAAUGCUUUUGAAGAUUCACUUGCCUGUUACUGUCC
RNAcentral lists this small RNA (718 nucleotides) under Oryza sativa Japonica Group (Japanese rice). Its description in RNAcentral is "misc RNA Os10g0390100". Lineage: Eukaryota; Viridiplantae; Streptophyta; Magnoliopsida; Poales; Poaceae. The record is from RNAcentral.